This 101-nucleotide small RNA is filed under the name Streptomyces kanasensis. RNAcentral describes it as "Streptomyces sp. ZX01 che1 RNA". It matches the Rfam family "che1 RNA". Lineage: Bacteria; Bacillati; Actinomycetota; Actinomycetes; Kitasatosporales; Streptomycetaceae. The record is from Rfam by way of RNAcentral.
UGGACAGGGGGGUUCCUGCCGACCGGCAGGGCCUGUCCGAACGGGCCGCGCGGACGCCUGCGCCGAGCGGCACGGUGGUUGUCGCUCGGGGGUGAUCGCCG